This 905-nucleotide small RNA is filed under the name Ganoderma sp. UH-G. RNAcentral describes it as "eukaryotic LSU rRNA". The stretch from base 209 to 362 matches the Rfam family "5.8S ribosomal RNA". Lineage: Eukaryota; Fungi; Basidiomycota; Agaricomycetes; Polyporales; Polyporaceae. The record is from RNAcentral.
GGACCGAAUGAGUUGACUGGGUUGUAGCUGGCCUCCCGAGGCAUGUGCACGCCCUGCUCAUCCACUCUACACCUGUGCACUCACUGUGGGCUUCAGAUUGUCGUGAAGCGGGCUCCUUACCGGGCUUGUGAAGCGGUGUCUGUGCCUGCGUUUACUACAAACUAUUAAAGUAUCAGAAUGUGUAUUGCGAUGUAACGCAUCUAUAUACAACUUUCAGCAACGGAUCUCUUGGCUCUCGCAUCGAUGAAGAACGCAGCGAAAUGCGAUAAGUAAUGUGAAUUGCAGAAUUCAGUGAAUCAUCGAAUCUUUGAACGCACCUUGCGCUCCUUGGUAUUCCGAGGAGCAUGCCUGUUUGAGUGUCAUGAAAUCUUCAACCUGCAAGCUUAUGUGGUUUGUAGGCUUGGACUUGGAGGCUUUGUCGGCCAUGCCCGGUCGGCUCCUCUCAAAUGCAUUAGCUUGGUUCCUUGCGGAUCGGCUCUCGGUGUGAUAAUGUCUACGCCGUGACCGUGAAGCGUUUGGCGAGCUUCUAAUCGUCUCGGUUAGAGACAGCUUUAUGACCUCUGACCUCAAAUCAGGUAGGACUACCCGCUGAACUUAAGCAUAUCAUAAGCCGGGGAAAAAAGAAAGUCCAGUUUUGGACUGGGUUUGUACUGGGCCUCCCGAGGCAUGUGCACGCCCUGCUCAUCCACUCUACACCUGUGCACUCACUGUGGGCUUUCAAUUGUCGUGAAAGCGGGCUCUUACCGGGCUUGUGAAACGGUUGUCUGUGCUGCGUUUACUACAAACUAUUAAAGUAUCAGAAUGUGUAUUGUGAUGUUAACGCAUCUAUAUACACUUUCACAACGGAUCUUUUGGCUCUGCAUCGAUUAAUAAAACACUAAAUGCGAUAAGUAAUGUGAAUUGCC